UCCUUCGCUCUCGUCUAAACAAACCGUUAACUCACCAACCCAUCCGACGACGAAUCGAUACACGAAUCCGAGAGAGGCAUGUACCUCACCGCGAGAAUGUGACUCAACAGAGAGAGAGAGAGAGAGAGGAGAACAUGAAACGCUCAUGAAAUCUAACAGAAUUGCCAAUUUUCGGAUAUAUCUAUCGUAAUCUGAAGCUAGAAAUUUUCAUAUCAUUAAAAAAUGUGCCUCUGAUGA
This is a long non-coding RNA of Venturia canescens, 237 nucleotides long. RefSeq lists it as uncharacterized. Lineage: Eukaryota; Metazoa; Arthropoda; Insecta; Hymenoptera; Ichneumonidae. The transcript has 2 exons. The record is from RefSeq and is a predicted model, not a curated record.